CAGCCACACGGCAAGCACAACACACCACACACGAACAAACUUCACUUACUUAAGAUGUCAGACGGGAAAUCUCGCAAUUCCCUCUCGAGAUCAAACGUUCGUUCAGGGUCAAUGAGGUCCAACAUCUGAAACAAUGGUGGGCAGUGGAUUAGUGGAGGUCCAGGACGGCUGAACACGCUCUUCUCUAUGUAUGCUGUGGGAAGUGGUGGAGGGUCUGGACAGCUUAAAGUGCAAGAGCAUCCAGAUCUCCUCUGACCUCUCCUGGACUGGAAACGCCCCUCACCUGUUGAAGAAGGUACAAGAGCUCUUCUUCAUCAGGAAAUGAAAACAGACUGUUCUCUCUUUUCAGCUGCUUACAAAUGUCUACAGGGCCACAGUGGAAAGCACCCUGUGUCUCAGCAUGACAGUGUGGUGUGGGAACUGCACAGGAGAAGAAGGAAGUAUCAUGAGUGGUGAGGACAGCACACAGGAUUAUGGGAUGCCGUUUGCCCGACAUGGACUCUGUUUACACUAUACAACUUCAGAGGAAAGCCAGGCGCAUCGCAAAAGACCCCUCCCAUCCAAUGCUACAAGCUGAUUGUCCCACUUCCAUCAGGAAAACUGAACAGCUGCAUUAAAUCCAGACCAAACACACUUAAACAGUUGAGCAUUUUGAGGUACUUUGACAAGGUAUUUCUCCAAAACUGUAUAGUAAAAUUAUAAAAUAUUUAUUCUGAUUAUAGUGUAGAUGACCAUUUACCAUAAUCUGAAGAGUUUGUGUCAUAUACUGGAUGAGCAUUUUGAGAUACUUUGAGUUCUGUAUUUCUCCAAAACUGUACAGUAAAAUUAUUAAAAAUGUAUUCUUUUACAUAAAAUAAAUAUGUGAAAGUUGUAAAAAUGUAAAUAAUAAAAAUGUUCUGUAGGUUA
This is a long non-coding RNA of Girardinichthys multiradiatus, 906 nucleotides long. RefSeq lists it as uncharacterized. NCBI's taxonomy places the organism in Eukaryota, Metazoa, Chordata, Actinopteri, Cyprinodontiformes, Goodeidae. The transcript has 2 exons. The record is from RefSeq and is a predicted model, not a curated record.